UGUGGAUCUUAAGCGAUGCAGUGGGGUCUGAUGCGCAAGUAUACGUGGAACUAUAUGAGUGUAUUCUUAGCGGAUUGAAGCCGCGCUGCGGCUUGACAAAUUCGCGCCUUGGCUUUUAGCGCUGUCAGGCUUGCUUUGCGUUAUGCGAUGUAAUAGCGACUCGAGGGUGCGCGUCUUCGCCACAGUGCUCGUUGCUGCACCCGCGCUCUUGUUCGCAUAACGGAGUGUGACGAAGGCGCAUCAAUGCACCUUACAGCGCAGCUGACUUACAGUAGAGGUAUGCCGAUGUCGCCUGCUUCGUCGCCACCUGCAUGCAUGCCGUGCUGCAUACAGGUCUUCACAGAAAUACGGGAAGUUUGGUAAGCGCUCAAAGUAUUUAUCUUAUAUUCUGAUGACUUUUUUCUCAAAACUGUUUACUUGCCGUAAAAUCACACUUUUAAUUCUGCAUAAAAAAAACACUAUUCGGGGAAUGUGGUCAUUUUUAGUGCGAGUAUUCUUUGAAUUCGAGCAAUAAUGGCUGGGCGGCUGCUUCGUCGGCUCUAUGGUGAAGGCGGUGACGACGCGAUGAAUCAUGAAUCGUCUUGAGAACAAGAGUAACAUU
Dermacentor andersoni is the source of this 601-nucleotide non-coding RNA. The record is from RefSeq and is a predicted model, not a curated record. Lineage: Eukaryota; Metazoa; Arthropoda; Arachnida; Ixodida; Ixodidae.